This 255-nucleotide ribosomal RNA is filed under the name uncultured bacterium. RNAcentral's name for it is "partial 16S ribosomal RNA". It matches the Rfam family "Bacterial small subunit ribosomal RNA", at positions 524 to 776 of the family's 1533-position model. The record is from RNAcentral.
AACGUAGGAGACAAACGUUAUCCGGAGUUACUGGGCGUAAAGGGCGUGUAGGUGGUUUUGUAAGUCUGGCGUGAAAUUUUUCGGCUUAACCGGGAAAGGUCGUCGGAUACUGCGGAGCUAGAGGACGGUAGAGGCGUGUGGAAUUCCAGGUGUAGCGGUGAAAUGCGUAGAUAUCUGGAGGAACACCGGUGGCGGAAGGCGGCCUUCUGGACGGAUGACUGACGCUGAGACGCGAAAGCGUGGGGAGCAAACAGG